GCCCAGCUAGCUCAGUCGGUCGAGCACAAGACUGUUGAACUUGUGGUCAUGGGUUCGAGUACCACGUUGGAUA
This 73-nucleotide transfer RNA is filed under the name Dreissena polymorpha. It matches the Rfam family "tRNA". Rfam says of the family: Transfer RNA (tRNA) molecules are approximately 80 nucleotides in length. The record is from Rfam by way of RNAcentral. Lineage: Eukaryota; Metazoa; Mollusca; Bivalvia; Myida; Dreissenidae.